Molecule: ribosomal RNA, 331 nt
Filed under: uncultured eukaryote
Lineage: Eukaryota
Description: partial 18S ribosomal RNA
Rfam family: Eukaryotic small subunit ribosomal RNA
Source: RNAcentral
CCCUUAGAUGUCCUGGGCCGCACGCGCGUUACACUGAUGCAUUCAACGAGCUUAUAACCUUGGCCGAGAGGCCUGGGCAAUCUUGUUAACGUGCAUCGUGAUAGGGAUAGAUUAUUGAAAUUAUUAAUCUUGAACGAGGAAUUCCUAGUAAGCGCGAGUCAUCAGCUCGCGUUGACUACGUCCCUGCCCUUUGUACACACCGCCCGUCGCUCCUACCGAUUGAAUGGUCCGGUGAAGUGUUCGGAUCGCGCCGACGUGGGCGGUUCGCCGCCGGCGACGUCGCGAGAAGUCCACUGAACCUUAUCAUUUAGAGGAAGGAGAAGUCGUAACA